GACGAACGUUGGCGUCGUGCUUAAUACAUGCAAGUCAACUGAAGCAGUGGUAGCAAUAUCGCUGUGGAGGUGGCGCACGGGUGAGUAACACGUAGGUAAUCUGCCUUCAGGUCUGGCAUAACUCCGGGAAACCGGGGCUAAUAGCAGAUGAUGCAGCGGCUCGACAUCGAGACAGUUGUUAAAGCUAUGGCGCCUGAAGAUGAGCCUGCGUCUGAUUAGCUAGUUGGCGGGGUAACGGCCCACCAAGGCAACGAUCAGUAGCUGGUCUGAGAGGAUGAUCAGCCACACUGGAACUGAGACACGGUCCAGACUCCUACGGGAGGCAGCAGUAAGGAAUAUUGCUCAAUGGGAGAAAUCCUGAAGCAGCAACGCCGCGUGAGGGACGAAGGGCUUUUGCUUGUAAACCUCUGUAGUGAGAGAAAAAAAUCCCAAUCUUUGGGACAUGAUGGUAUCUCAAAAGUAAGCCCCGGCUAACUACGUG
Molecule: ribosomal RNA, 481 nt
Filed under: uncultured bacterium
Lineage: Bacteria
Description: partial 16S ribosomal RNA
Rfam family: Bacterial small subunit ribosomal RNA
Source: RNAcentral